UGGAAGAAGCUAGUAGAAAAAUAUAAGCGGAACAAAGGUCGGACCUCGAGGGUGGCAGUACCAUAGGAGCGGUUCUACCGCUCCCUAGAGCGGUACUUUUGCUUAUAAACUUCUAGGUACUUAGAGGCAGAACAGAGGCUCAGUUGCUCCAGGAAUCGAUCGGCUGGAAGUGAGUAUGAGUUUGUUACUCCCAACCUUUCCAUAUGGGGAUCCCCUCUUGAUAGUACGGGUUUACCUAUGACUCAAGUUCACCAACACUAAAUCGAUAGACAAGCACUUUGUCAUGGUGUUGUCACAUCAGAUGUCCUUGUAAAAGGACUUAGUGGUGAGGCCAUCAUCGCGAUGUGGCGACUCGAAUGGGUUGGUUGGGAACGAGAGAAGGAUUUACCUAGGUUCGGCCCCUCCGAUGGAGGUAAAAGCCUAAGUUUCGCUUUGUGUCUAUAUUGAUGGGAAUCUCGACACAAGGGUGCGGAAUCGCCAACCUAGCUCUCGAGGUUUUCUUACUUGAUCUCCUUGGCUCGAGGGCUCUCCUUUCCAUGUUAGGAAGAGGCCCCAAGUUUUACAACAUAGCC
RNAcentral lists this long non-coding RNA (572 nucleotides) under Hordeum vulgare. RNAcentral describes it as "long non-coding RNA (HVUL_LNC001349)". Lineage: Eukaryota; Viridiplantae; Streptophyta; Magnoliopsida; Poales; Poaceae. The record is from RNAcentral.